Klebsiella sp. RIT-PI-d is the source of this 86-nucleotide small RNA. It matches the Rfam family "sroD RNA". From Rfam's summary of the family: This family consists of a number of bacterial sroD RNA genes of around 90 bases in length. sroD is found in several Enterobacterial species but its function is unknown. NCBI's taxonomy places the organism in Bacteria, Pseudomonadati, Pseudomonadota, Gammaproteobacteria, Enterobacterales, Enterobacteriaceae. The record is from Rfam.
CUGCGUGACGAAGCGCGUAGUAAUGUGGACAAUAAAGCCUGAGCCACGAGUAAGUCGCCAGACGCCGGUUAAUCCGGCGUUUUUUA